This 300-nucleotide ribosomal RNA is filed under the name Lippia origanoides. RNAcentral describes it as "partial 16S ribosomal RNA". It matches the Rfam family "Bacterial small subunit ribosomal RNA", at positions 1033 to 1331 of the family's 1533-position model. Lineage: Eukaryota; Viridiplantae; Streptophyta; Magnoliopsida; Lamiales; Verbenaceae. The record is from RNAcentral.
CACAGGUGCUGCAUGGCUGUCGUCAGCUCGUGUCGUGAGGUGUUGGGUUAAGUCCCGCAACGAGCGCAACCCUUGUGUUUAGUUGCCAUCUUUUAAUUGGGGACCCUCAAAGGACUGCCCGGGAGACACCCGAGAAAAGGGGGGGGAUGACCUCAUCUUCUCGCGCCCUUUGCCCUGGGGGAUACACAUGUUCUAAUGGGGGGGGCAAAGGGGGUCGCCCCCCCGCGGGGGAGAUCACCCCCAAAACCCCCCCUCAUUUCCGAUUGCGGGCUCCGCCUCUCCUGUGUGAAACCGGAAACU